This 254-nucleotide ribosomal RNA is filed under the name uncultured bacterium. Its description in RNAcentral is "partial 16S ribosomal RNA". It matches the Rfam family "Bacterial small subunit ribosomal RNA", at positions 524 to 776 of the family's 1533-position model. The record is from RNAcentral.
UACGUAGGGGGCUAGCGUUGUCCGGAUUUAUUGGGCGUAAAGAGCUCGUAGGUGGUUCGGUAAGUCGGAUGUGAAAUCUCCAGGCUCAACCUGGAGGGGUCAUUCGAUACUGCUAUGGCUAGAGUCCGGUAGGGGAGUGUGGAAUUCCCGGUGUAGCGGUGAAAUGCGCAGAUAUCGGGAGGAACACCGAUGGCGAAGGCAGCACUCUGGGCCGGUACUGACGCUGAGGAGCGAAAGCUAGGGGAGCGAACAGG